Molecule: long non-coding RNA, 2020 nt
Filed under: Bemisia tabaci
Lineage: Eukaryota; Metazoa; Arthropoda; Insecta; Hemiptera; Aleyrodidae
Description: lncRNA ENSSWEETPG000501
Source: RNAcentral
AAAAAUUACAAAAACAUGGGGUGUGCAAGUGCAAUAUCCUAUCUUAUCACAGGCUGUCUUGUCUGCUGCUUACUGCAGCAGUAGCUUGAAAAAAUGUCUACAAUAAAGUCUGAGAAUUGGUCAAUAGCAGUAUAUUAUGAAUAACAAAUUAGAUGUAGUAAAGGGACGAUAUUUAAUGCGACUGAAUCACAUCACCGAGAAGGAAUCAAAUUUUCAGUCUCAAAAUCAAAAUCAAAACUUCAAAACCUAACCUAACCAGAAACGUAAACAAAACAUGAAUGUCCCGAAGAUAACCAUUAAACAACAACAAAACAACAUAACCUCCAAAACUUUUUAUUCAUCAUCGCAACUCAGUGAACUUUUAUUUCUCUCCUCUCCUUUAGAUUCGAUUGUGAUUUUCCACUUUUCAAACAAAUUCGAAAUACUAUAUCUCUUUCAUUUCAGACUAUUCAUAUCGAAUUUUGUGUUCGAAGUUCCCUAAAACACCCAUUACGCUCCAAAUGUUGAUUAGUCUGUUUCCCUCUUCCUUCUGAAAAAACUAUUGUUAUUGCGUUUUUCAAGUUUUCAAUGUCAAUCCUCGUUAUUCCUUUAUCCCUAAUUUCUCUCGCCACCCAUCUGUAAAAUAAUGGAUCAGCAAUCAAGCAGGUUUGGAUCAAAUUUAGAAGAUAACACCAUACCUGACAAUGAUGGUAAAGAGCUCAAUGGAAACAAUGUGAAACGUAUGAACCCUCAAGACAAACGUACAAAACGAGGAAACAAAAAAUCUACGAGACACUAUGAUGGAAAUUUUGUUGACAUCAACAACAUGUCGCAGUUCACACCUAGUCAUUGGACAAUGAACCACCCGCACCCGCAAAGGCAGCAUCUCUACCCAGCAAUGUCUGAUCCAAGUGUUUGCAGUUACCAGAUUCCGAUUAGUUUUCCUAUGGAGUCAGUGUCAUUUCCUUGCUACCCUGUCUACCAAUCACCGGUCAUGCCUGAGAUGCGGAAACAGUCCCAUUUAUCUCCUAGACGGCUUCCUUCUCAGUCGCGAAUCAUUAAUAACACCCAUUUGCGCCAGUCUGAAAAUUACACUAGUCUUCCACCUGUUCCUCCUCCGGAAGCCCCAGAAGAUCAUCAGCGCCGAUUCAGUGACCCUGGUCUUGGAAACGUCGAUGACUCAGACUUAGAAUCAUCAACAUGCGGUUCUGAUGACUCAGUCCCUCUCAGCAAUUCCAAACUGAUGGAUCAGCUAACAGCAGUAAAUAAUCAAGUCCAACGGUUGAGUACGCAGCUUUUUCAGACGCAAAGCGAACUGGAUGAAUUGAAGUUAGACAUGGUUUCAGUGAAAAAUUCGCUCGCUUCCAAAUAUGAACAGCCUGGCUUGUUAUCUGAGAUGAUCGGUGAAAUCAAAAAAGCUGCUGAAAUCAGAGAAAAAGCAUUUCUUUCUCAAAUAUCUAGUUUUAUCUCUUCGGUGAAUUUAAAGAAAUUUGAAACUAGUUGUCAUGAGGAGAGCGUCAAUGUUUCUGAGAAAGGAGAUCAACCAACAGUGACCUCCUCGGAGUACGAGAUUGACUCAUCAAGAAAAAUUUUAGAAGUAGAGAAAAAGUGCAUUCAACUGGAACAAGCCCUUAGUGAUGCAAUAUCCGCCCGAAUAAAAGCUGAAAAUGAAGCUGAAAGAUGGAAAACCAAGCUAAUAUCACAAAAAGAUAAAUCAUCAUUGCAGGAAACUGUGUCUUCAGAGAUAGACAACGAUGAGAAACUUAUCGAGGAUUUUUCGAAAGUCAACUUGAGCACUCCAAAAGAAACCCAGUGCAUUUUGCCUUCUUCAAAAGGGGAUAGCUGUUCCUUCCCAGACGCGGAUCCUAGGAGGAAAAGUGUAGAUUUCACCAAAACUCACCCUGAUUCGACUGAGAGACUGGAUUCAUCACCAUCAACCAGAAUUUUAAACAGUAAAAAUUACUCAAGAUUAUUGUCGUCAGGACUUGAAAUUUUGGAUCAGCUGGAUGACCACGCUCUUGGACCAGUCACUGAUUUAUAG